AUCUAAGCGGGAAGCGAGCCCUGAGAUGAGUCAUCCCUGACCCCUUGAGGGUCCUAAAGGGCCGUUGGAGACCACAACGUUGAUAGGUGGGGUGUGUAAGUGCAGCGAUGCAUUGAGCUAACCCAUACUAAUUACCCGUGAGGCUUAACCAUACAACACCCAAGAAGUGUUCUG
Molecule: ribosomal RNA, 174 nt
Filed under: Aeromonas salmonicida subsp. salmonicida
Lineage: Bacteria; Pseudomonadati; Pseudomonadota; Gammaproteobacteria; Aeromonadales; Aeromonadaceae
Description: partial 23S ribosomal RNA
Rfam family: Bacterial large subunit ribosomal RNA (bases 1-152)
Source: RNAcentral